This 160-nucleotide small nucleolar RNA is filed under the name Sphenodon punctatus (tuatara). Lineage: Eukaryota; Metazoa; Chordata; Lepidosauria; Sphenodontia; Sphenodontidae. The record is from RNAcentral.
GCUGCACACCGUUAGAGCUCAGAGCUGAGGUCAGUUUCUGGCCUAUGAACUCCUGAGUGUAGGACGUGUGCUACAUUAACCUUGGCAGGACUUUUCGCUAACACCACAAGGGCUUUUGUAGCCCAGUGAGUGGGGUUUGAUGGUGUUUCUUGCCACAGCU